Molecule: RNA transcript, 2478 nt
Organism: Cryptomeria japonica (Japanese cedar)
Lineage: Eukaryota; Viridiplantae; Streptophyta; Pinopsida; Cupressales; Cupressaceae
Gene name: receptor-like protein 12
Exons: 2
Source: RefSeq, a predicted model, not a curated record
AACUCUAAUUUUAUUGGCCAUAUUCCAAGAGAAAUCAGUAACAUGGUCAAUUUAACAUAUCUUGAUUUGUUUGGUAAUUCUUUGAGUGGCACCAUCCCAACAUCUUUGGGUAAGCUAUCAAAGCUCAUACAUCUUUUACUUGGUUCUAACUCAUUGAGUGGCACAAUCCCAACAUCUUUGGGUAAACUGUCAAAGCUCACAGUACUUGACCUAUCUUCUAACUCAUUGAGUGGCACAAUCCCAACAUCUUUUGGUAAACUGUCAAAGCUCACAAUACUUGACCUAUCUUCUAACUCAUUGAGUGGCACAAUCCCAACAUCUUUGGGUAAGUUGUGGAAGCUCAGAGUACUUUACCUAUCUUCUAACUCAUUGAGUGGCACAAUCCCAACAGGUUGGGGAAAUCUCACCAAACUCAUAUAUCUUGAUCUUAACAACAACCAACUAAAUGGCACCUACACACUUUCUUUCUUGGAUCAAAUCCCCAACAUUCAAGAAGUGAUUCUCUCAAGGAAUAAGUUGACUAUAAAAGUUAAUGCAACUUAUAUUCCCAAUUUUCAACUUGAAGCCUUAGGUUUGGGAUCUUGUAAUAUAGUUGGGGAUUUUCCAUCCUUCAUUUCCACUCAAUACUCUUUAGAGUACCUAGACUUAUCUCAAAACUCCCUUGAUGGAAAUAUUCCAAAUUGGCUAUGGGAUUUUAUAUACCUUGAUCAUCUCAACCUAUCUUGUAACCAGUUUGAAGGUAGUUUACCCUUCAAGUUGCUUGGAUUUGAACACAAUUCUCAAAGAAGCUCAGUUAUUGAUUUACAUAAUAAUAGGUUACAAGGAAAUACCCCCAUUUCCUUGCAAAAUGAUGUGGUAUUUUUGGAUCUUUCAGAGAAUCUAUUUGAUGGAUCUAUUUCAAUAGGAAUUGGGCAACAUGGACAAGCUCUUAGAUUUCUAUCACUGGCCAACAAUAAUCUUAGUGGUGUUAUCCCACAUUCUAUUUGUGAAUCAAGUUAUUUGGAAGUUUUAGAUUUGUCAAAUAAUAGGCUUAGUGGUAAGAUUCCCUCUAGUCUAAACAAAUGCUUUUACUUAUCCAUGUUAAAUCUAGAAAAGAAUGAUUUUAAGGGCACAAUUCCAAAUAUAUUUGGUAAUAUGUCUUUUCUAGAAACAUUGAAACUAGGUUUCAAUGAGCUAAGUGGGAACAUCCCACCAUCCCUUGCAAAUUGCAAUGCUUUGGAAAUCCUAGAUAUGAGGAAUAACAAUAUUCAUGGGAGCAUUUCUAGUUGGAUUGAAAGAUUGUAGAGUCUUCACAUCCUAGUACUAAAAUCUAACAAACUUGUUGGAAAGAUGCCCUCAGAAUUAUCAAAAUUGCAAAAUCUUCAGAUCUUGGAUAUAUCAAGCAACAAAAUUUCAGGCAUUAUUCCAAGUGGCUUCAUGAACUUGAGUGCACUGGCAAAUCAGACAGAGAACACAGAUUCUCUUGGAAUAGAUAGUUUUUAUUCUGGUGUGACUUAUAUAGAUCAUAUCAUCAUUAGAAGCAAAGGACAAGACAUGGAUUUCAUGAGAAAUUUGAGAUUGGUAAAAUGCCUUGAUUUGUCGAACAAUAAUUUAUCAGGGGAAAUACCUUGGGAUAUUGAAUCCCUCAAAGGAUUGAUAAUUCUCAAUGUUUCAAGAAAUCAUCUCAAUGGCGAGAUUCCAAAAUCCUUGGGGAGCAUGGUGCAGCUACAAUCACUUGAUCUUUCUAAAAAUGAAUUGUCUAGAAUGUUUCCUGUUGAGCUGCAAAAUCUCACAUAUUUGAGUUAUUUUGAUGUGUCCUAUAAUAACCUUUCAGGAACAAUACCACAAGGAGGACAAAUGAUGACAUUUGAUUCCUCAUCAGUCUCCAGCAAUUUAAAUUUAUGUGGCCUACAAAUCAAUGUAUCAUGCUUUGGAAGUCAUCUUGCUUCUCCAAAUGAAAAUGAUAAAAAUAAAGAAGUGCUGGAGGAGGAUGGAUGGUGGGAUAUUGGAAUGGGAAUCGGCUGUGCAUUGGGGUUUUCACUUUUGAUUUGGGUGUUGUGUUUCUCCAAAUCUUGGAGUGCAAAAUGCUUCAGAAUUAUGGAUGGCAUUAUAGACUCUCUUUUUAAAAGAUGAAAAAAAAGAUUGUUUCAGAAAUCUGCUGUACAAUCAACCUACCAUGCACGCCAAUUGUAGUUCCCAGGUUUCAAAUGCAAGUCAGUUUGGAUGCUGAGAUCAAGCACUAACAUUCCCAAGGACUUGGGCCUCAAUAAAUCCCCUUGUUGAAAGUGAAAAAGUACCCCAAAAAAAAAAAAAAUUAUUUUCAUAAGUUCUAUGAGUACUAGUUUUAUCAUGUUGGUAAUUUCAGAGUUAAAGUGGUACAAAGGCAAGCCAUAGCUGUGGAUGUUGUUUGUUGUAUAACAGUUGGGCAACUUAAUAAACAAAAGUUACAUUCCAGAGACUAAUAUGGAUUAUAAUUAGUUUUUUUUAUAAAAGGAACGU